UGCCGAUGCGAUAAUAUCCUCAUGGGUCAUACGCCCGUCUAGCCAAGCUAGCCGAGCCGCUGCUGAAAGUAUUAUCGGACUCACUCUCAUGAUUUAAUAAGGAUGGAUUAAAAGGCUGAGAGUAAUGACAUUGACUAUCAAAUUCUACCUCGCGUCAAGAGUAUCAAGGGAAUACUGAAGAGCAUGUCUCUCACUUGCUCUCGAGGAACUACGCUUGGUACGAAGCUUAUCCGUUACGGCCUGGAGGAGUAAAGAUUGAACGUUGGUGAUGGUGAGCCCGAGAAUAGGUGUACAGGAGUAUGCAUGAAGUAGAGGUGGAGGAAGAGAUGGAGUAGGAUAGGUGGUGGAUAUUUUCUGGUGCUCGUGCUGCUGCUGCUGCUGCUGAUGGUGAAGUUCAAGAGGUGCAGAGAGAAUAAGAGAGAAAGGAAUAUCAUCAACCGGGUCCUAUUCGCCCGGACCAGCUAGUAAUCUACAUAUGCAUCUCCCACCUAACGUACAAUAACCCCUAAAAAUAAAAACGAACAUCAUCGUCUAAAUAAAUACUAACAGGUACGCGUGGGCUGAACGCUUUCUCCUGGGACCACAUCCAGGUACAAUCUUAUAACUCAACUCGAGUUAAUGUAAUGUUACUUGUAGGCUGUAGGUAUUGCAAGUCCUGGUAGCACACGCGAGUUUGGCAAAGAUCCUUCCUCGCUGUCUGACUCGAUACCAGCUUAGAAUGCCAAGUUAAAUGCAAUAUAUAUAUAUAUAUAUAUAUAUAUAUAUA
This is a long non-coding RNA of Cotesia glomerata, 766 nucleotides long. RefSeq lists it as uncharacterized. The transcript has 3 exons. The record is from RefSeq and is a predicted model, not a curated record. NCBI's taxonomy places the organism in Eukaryota, Metazoa, Arthropoda, Insecta, Hymenoptera, Braconidae.